Molecule: ribosomal RNA, 569 nt
Filed under: Rhodobacteraceae bacterium I5
Lineage: Bacteria; Pseudomonadati; Pseudomonadota; Alphaproteobacteria; Rhodobacterales; Paracoccaceae
Description: bacterial SSU rRNA
Rfam family: Bacterial small subunit ribosomal RNA
Source: RNAcentral
GUUAGUAACGCGUGGGAACGUGCCCUUCUCUACGGAAUAGCCUCGGGAAACUGAGAGUAAUACCGUAUACGCCCUUCGGGGGAAAGAUUUAUCGGAGAAGGAUCGGCCCGCGUCUGAUUAGAUAGUUGGUGGGGUAAUGGCCUACCAAGUCUACGAUCAGUAGCUGGUUUUAGAGGAUGAUCAGCAACACUGGGACUGAGACACGGCCCAGACUCCUACGGGAGGCAGCAGUGGGGAAUCUUAGACAAUGGGCGCAAGCCUGAUCUAGCCAUGCCGCGUGAGUGAUGAAGGCCUUAGGGUCGUAAAGCUCUUUCGCCAGAGAUGAUAAUGACAGUAUCUGGUAAAGAAACCCCGGACGUAACUCCGUGCCAGCAGCCGCGGUAAUACGGAGGGGGUUAGCGUUGUUCGGAAUUACUGGGCGUAAAGCGCACGUAGGCGGAUCAGAAAGUUGGGGGUGAAAUCCCAGGGCUCAACCCUGGAACGGCCUCCAAAACUCCUGGUCUUGAGUUCGAGAGAGGUGAGUGGAAUUCCGAGUGUAGAGGUGAAAUUCGUAGAUAUUCGGAGGAACA